GGCAAGCGUUAUCCGGAUUUAUUGGGCGUAAAGCGAGCGCAGGCGGUCUUUUAAGUCUAAUGUGAAAGCUUUCGGCUCAACCGAAGAAGUGCAUUGGAAACUGGGAGACUUGAGUGCAGAAGAGGACAGUGGAACUCCAUGUGUAGCGGUGAAAUGCGUAGAUAUAUGGAAGAACACCAGUGGCGAAGGCGGCUGUCUGGUCUGCAACUGACGCUGAGGCUCGAAAGCAUGGGUAGCGAACAGGAUUAGAUACCCUGGUAGUCCAUGCCGUAAACGAUGAUUACUAAGUGUUGGAGGGUUUCCGCCCUUCAGUGCUGCAGCUAACGCAUUAAGUAAUCCGCCUGGGGAGUACGACCGCAAGGUUGAAACUCAAAAGAAUUGACGGGGGCCCGCACAAGCGGUGGAGCAUGUGGUUUAAUUCGAAGCUACGCGAAGAACCUUACCAGGUCUUGACAUCUUCUGACAGUCUAAGAGAUUAGAGGUUCCCUUCGGGGACAGAAUGACAGGUGGUGCAUGGUUGUCGUCAGCUCGUGUCGUGAGAUGUUGGGUUAAGUCCCGCAACGAGCGCAACCCUUAUUACUAGUUGCCAGCAUUAAGUUGGGCACUCUAGUGAGACUGCCGGUGACAAACCGGAGGAAGGUGGGGACGACGUCAAAUCAUCAUGCCCCUUAUGACCUGGGCUACACACGUGCUACAAUGGAUGGUACAACGAGUCGCGAGACCGCGAGGUUAAGCUAAUCUCUUAAAACCAUUCUCAGUUCGGACUGUAGGCUGCAACUCGCCUACACGAAGUCGGAAUCGCUAGUAAUCGCGGAUCAGCAUGCCGCGGUGAAUACGUUCCCGGGCCUUGUACACACCGCCCGUCACACCAUGAGAGUUUGUAACACCCAAAGCCGGUGGGGUAACCUUUUAGGAGCUAGCCGUCUAAGGUGGGACAGAUGAUUAGGGUGAAGUCGUAAGCAAGG
This 965-nucleotide ribosomal RNA is filed under the name Pediococcus pentosaceus. RNAcentral's name for it is "bacterial SSU rRNA". It matches the Rfam family "Bacterial small subunit ribosomal RNA", at positions 533 to 1496 of the family's 1533-position model. Lineage: Bacteria; Bacillati; Bacillota; Bacilli; Lactobacillales; Lactobacillaceae. The record is from RNAcentral.